Molecule: microRNA precursor, 52 nt
Filed under: Equus caballus (horse)
Lineage: Eukaryota; Metazoa; Chordata; Mammalia; Perissodactyla; Equidae
Description: mir-1302 microRNA precursor family
Rfam family: mir-1302 microRNA precursor family
Source: Rfam by way of RNAcentral
UUUUUAGUAUAUGUGUGUCCUAUGCAAUAUUUGGGACAAAUUUAUACUAAAA